CCUACGGGAGGCAGCAGUGGGGAAUAUUGGACAAUGGGCGAAAGCCUGAUCCAGCAAUUCCGCGUGUGUGAAGAAAGCCUUCGGGUUGUAAAGCACUUUAGUGGGGGAAGAAACAGCUUGGCCACACCAAGCCUUGACGGUACCCCAAGAAUAAGCACCGGCUAACUCUGUGCCAGCAGCCGCGGUAAUACAGAGGGUGCAAGCGUUAAUCGGAUUUACUGGGCGUAAAGGGUGCGUAGGUGGCUAUUUAAGUCGGAUGUGAAAGCCCGGGGCUCAACCUCGGAAUUGCAUUCGAUACUGAGUGGCUAGAGUUCGGUAGAGGGCGGCGGAAUUUCCGGUGUAGCGGUGAAAUGCGUAGAUAUCGGAAGGAACAUCAAUGGCGAAGGCAGCCGCCUGGGCCUGGACUGACACUGAGGCACGAAAGCGUGGGUAGCAAACAGGAUUAGAUACCCUGGUAGUCCACGCCGUAAACGAUGAGAACUUGACGUUGGUUCGUUUUACGAAUCGGUGUCGCNGCUACGACGAUAGUUACUCCGUCCGUCGGGUAGGUACGGCCGGCGACGGUUAGUAACGUACAAUAGAAGUAGACGGCGUGAGACGUCGCCGACGGACGACGACGAGGGAGGAGG
RNAcentral lists this ribosomal RNA (629 nucleotides) under uncultured bacterium. RNAcentral describes it as "bacterial SSU rRNA". The stretch from base 1 to 538 matches the Rfam family "Bacterial small subunit ribosomal RNA", at positions 338 to 873 of the family's 1533-position model. The record is from RNAcentral.